Molecule: small nuclear RNA, 101 nt
Filed under: Triticum aestivum (bread wheat)
Lineage: Eukaryota; Viridiplantae; Streptophyta; Magnoliopsida; Poales; Poaceae
Source: RNAcentral
GUCCCUUCGGGGACAUCCAAUAAAAUUGGAACGAGACAGAGAAGAUUAGCAUGACCCUGCGCAAGGAUGACACGCACAAAAAAAAACAUACGUAAAAAUAU